GCUGCCUGCCGUCCGCUCAUCCGCAGCAGGACAGAGCUCGCAGCAGGUGCCAGGCUGUGGAGGAACCCCCUUGUUGCUCUAAAGAACACUCUUUGCUGAAGAAACCUGAAGAGUCCUUUGAGGAACUGACUUGUUUUCAUCUUUUCAUUAAUGACAGUAAGACCUAAGUAACUGGUUUUGUUUCCUUUUUUCUC
RNAcentral lists this long non-coding RNA (194 nucleotides) under Capra hircus (goat). RNAcentral's name for it is "lncRNA (ENSCHIG00000002262.1)". Lineage: Eukaryota; Metazoa; Chordata; Mammalia; Artiodactyla; Bovidae. The record is from RNAcentral.